This 73-nucleotide transfer RNA is filed under the name Marmota monax (woodchuck). It matches the Rfam family "tRNA". From Rfam's summary of the family: Transfer RNA (tRNA) molecules are approximately 80 nucleotides in length. Their secondary structure includes four short double-helical elements and three loops (D, anti-codon, and T loops). Further hydrogen bonds mediate the characteristic L-shaped molecular structure. tRNAs have two regions of fundamental functional importance: the anti-codon, which is responsible for specific mRNA codon recognition, and the 3' end, to which the tRNAs corresponding amino acid is attached (by aminoacyl-tRNA synthetases). tRNAs cope with the degeneracy of the genetic code in two manners: having more than one tRNA (with a specific anti-codon) for a particular amino acid; and 'wobble' base-pairing, i.e. permitting non-standard base-pairing at the 3rd anti-codon position. The record is from Rfam by way of RNAcentral. Lineage: Eukaryota; Metazoa; Chordata; Mammalia; Rodentia; Sciuridae.
UGUGGCCUGGCUCAGUGGGCAGAGCGCUUGCCUAGCAUGCAUGAGGCACUGAGUUCAAUCCCCAGCACCACAU